UGAGGAAUAUUGGUCAAUGGGCGGGAGCCUGAACCAGCCAAGCCGCGUGAGGGAUGAAGGCCCUAUGGGUCGUAAACCUCUUUUGUCAGGGAACAAAAGCGAGUAUGUAUACUAGUCUGAGUGUACCUGAAGAAAAAGCAUCGGCUAACUCCGUGCCAGCAGCCGCGGUAAUACGGAGGAUGCGAGCGUUAUCCGGAUUUAUUGGGUUUAAAGGAUGCGUAGGCGGCGAUGCAAGUCAGCGGUAAAAGCCCGGGGCUCAACCCCGGCGAGCCGUUGAAACUGCAGUGCUAGAGAAGGCGAGAGGUACGCGGAAUGCGCAGUGUAGCGGUGAAAUGCUUAGAUAUUGCGCAGAACUCCGAUUGCGAAGGCAGCGUACUGGCGCCUGACUGACGCUGAGGCACGAAAGCGUGGGGAUCGAACAGGAUUAGAUACC
This 433-nucleotide ribosomal RNA is filed under the name uncultured bacterium. RNAcentral describes it as "bacterial SSU rRNA". It matches the Rfam family "Bacterial small subunit ribosomal RNA", at positions 355 to 786 of the family's 1533-position model. The record is from RNAcentral.